ACUCAAAGGAAUUGACGGGGACCCGCACAAGCAGCGGAGCGUGUGGUUUAAUUCGAUGCAACGCGAAGAACCUUACCAGGGCUUGACAUGUUAUCGCACCGCCGGGAGACCGGCGUGCCCGCAAGGGACGGUAGCACAGGUGCUGCAUGGCUGUCGUCAGCUCGUGUCGUGAGAUGUUGGGUUAAGUCCCGCAACGAGCGCAACCCCCGUUACUGGUUAUAUGUGUCCAGUGAGACUGCCAUUUUACAAUGGAGGAAGGUGGGGAUGACGUCAAGUCAGCACGGCCCUUACGUCCUGGGCGACACACACGCUACAAUGGCCGAGACAAAGAGUUGCCAACCAGCGAUGGGCAGCUAAUCUCGUCAAACUCGGUCUCAGUUCAGAUUGUAGGCUGCAACCCGCCUGCAUGAAGUUGGAGUUGCUAGUAACCGUAAGUCAGCACAUUACGGUGAAUACGUUCCCGGGUCUUGUACACACCGCCCGU
Molecule: ribosomal RNA, 484 nt
Filed under: uncultured bacterium
Lineage: Bacteria
Description: partial 16S ribosomal RNA
Rfam family: Bacterial small subunit ribosomal RNA
Source: RNAcentral